RNAcentral lists this transfer RNA (72 nucleotides) under Ictidomys tridecemlineatus (thirteen-lined ground squirrel). RNAcentral describes it as "Spermophilus tridecemlineatus (thirteen-lined ground squirrel) tRNA". It matches the Rfam family "tRNA". From Rfam's summary of the family: Transfer RNA (tRNA) molecules are approximately 80 nucleotides in length. Lineage: Eukaryota; Metazoa; Chordata; Mammalia; Rodentia; Sciuridae. The record is from Rfam by way of RNAcentral.
GGGGAUGUGGCUCAGUGGUAGAGUGCUUGCCUCGCAUGUGUGAGGCACUGGGUUAGAUUCUCAGCAUCACAU